AUAACUCAAUGUAGAUCGAUUUGUGAGAUGAUGAUUGUCAAU
RNAcentral lists this non-coding RNA (42 nucleotides) under Trypanosoma brucei brucei. Lineage: Eukaryota; Euglenozoa; Kinetoplastea; Trypanosomatida; Trypanosomatidae. The record is from RNAcentral.